This 253-nucleotide ribosomal RNA is filed under the name uncultured bacterium. RNAcentral's name for it is "partial 16S ribosomal RNA". It matches the Rfam family "Bacterial small subunit ribosomal RNA", at positions 524 to 776 of the family's 1533-position model. The record is from RNAcentral.
UACAGAGGUCCCAAGCGUUGUUCGGAUUCACUGGGCGUAAAGGGUGCGUAGGCGGCGCGGUAAGUCUGAUGUGAAAUCUCCGGGCUCAACCCGGAAAUGGCAUUGGAUACUAUUCGGCUAGAGGUUUGGAGGGGGGACUGGAAUUCUCGGUGUAGCAGUGAAAUGCGUAGAUAUCGAGAGGAACACCAGUGGCGAAGGCGAGUCCCUGGACAACACCUGACACUGAGGCACGAAAGCUAGGGGAGCAAACAGG